RNAcentral lists this long non-coding RNA (547 nucleotides) under Elaeis guineensis (African oil palm). RNAcentral's name for it is "long non-coding RNA (EGUI_LNC021099)". Lineage: Eukaryota; Viridiplantae; Streptophyta; Magnoliopsida; Arecales; Arecaceae. The record is from RNAcentral.
UUCUAGCUUCCGAGCCAUUGCUAAAAACCAAUCAUUUUAAUGAUUUAAAAUUUCUAAAUUUCUCCAUUUAAAAAAUAUAGCUGCAAAAAAGUCAACAUAUUAUUUUAGUAAUUCGACAACAAUCAUGAAUUCGCGAAUGAAAAUAUAAGGAGAUAUUUGAUUUUUUAAAUAUUGAUGUGGUCCAAAUUUGAUCAUCCAACCCUAGAUUACCAUAUGGCAUUGAAAGAAAUCUAUUUUAGUCGAACUUAGAUUUCUGAUUCGAUUCUUAUAAGAAAAGUCUAAAGUUAGACUUCAACUUGGCUCAGAACUCCAACUGUACUUCGAUAGAAUGAAAACUCAUCUAUUAAAACAAACUGUAAGAUACCAGAUAGAUACGGUACACACAACAUAUGUACUCUCUGCUUUUUUUUCUUUUUAUUUUACAUUACCCCGAGUAUUCUCUUUUUUUUUUCUCCACUGUUCUCCAAGACUCUUUCCCCUAACUUAAAUACCAGAAGGCCCCCAGCCUGAUCAACUCCAACAACCUUCGAUCUUCUCUUCUUUUCCC